Molecule: non-coding RNA, 22 nt
Filed under: Arabidopsis thaliana (thale cress)
Lineage: Eukaryota; Viridiplantae; Streptophyta; Magnoliopsida; Brassicales; Brassicaceae
Source: RNAcentral
UAAAGACUGCAUCCGAAUGAAA